This 722-nucleotide ribosomal RNA is filed under the name uncultured bacterium. RNAcentral's name for it is "bacterial SSU rRNA". It matches the Rfam family "Bacterial small subunit ribosomal RNA", at positions 777 to 1500 of the family's 1533-position model. The record is from RNAcentral.
AUUAGAUACCCUGGUAGUCCACGCUGUAAACGAUGAUUACUAGGUGUGGGGGGGGCUGACCCCUUUCCGUGCCGCAGUUAACACAAUAAGUAAUCCACCUGGGGAGUACGGCCGCAAGGUUGAAACUCAAAGGAAUUGACGGGGGCCCGCACAAGCAGUGGAGUAUGUGGUUUAAUUCGAAGCAACGCGAAGAACCUUACCGGGUCUUGACAUCCUGGGAAUCCUUAAGAGAUUAGGGAGUGCCCUUCGGGGAACCCAGAGACAGGUGGUGCAUGGUUGUCGUCAGCUCGUGUCGUGAGAUGUUGGGUUAAGUCCCGCAACGAGCGCAACCCUUAUCAUUAGUUGCUACGCAAGGGCACUCUAGAGAGACUGCCGGGGGCAACCCGGAGGAAGGCGGGGAUGACGUCAAAUCAUCAUGCCCCUUAUGGCCAGGGCUACACACGUGCUACAAUGGCGCAAACAGAGGGAAGCGGAGCGGUGACGGCGAGCGAAUCCCAAAAAGUGCGUCCCAGUUCGGAUUGUAGUCUGCAACUCGACUACAUGAAGCCGGAAUCGCUAGUAAUCGCGGAUCAGAAUGCCGCGGUGAAUACGUUCCCGGGUCUUGUACACACCGCCCGUCACACCAUGGGAGCCGGAAAUGCCCGAAGUCAGUGACCCAACCAAUAAGGAGGGAGCUGCCGAAGGCAGGUCUGGUGACUGGGGUGAAGUCGUAACAAGGUACC